Molecule: ribosomal RNA, 468 nt
Filed under: uncultured bacterium
Lineage: Bacteria
Description: partial 16S ribosomal RNA
Rfam family: Bacterial small subunit ribosomal RNA
Source: RNAcentral
GACGAACGCUGGCGGCGUGCUUAACACAUGCAAGUCGAACGGAAAGGCCCUGCUUUUGUGGGGUGCUCGAGUGGCGAACGGGUGAUUAACACGUGAGUAACCUGCCCUUGACUUUGGGAUAACUUCAGGAAACUGGGGCUAAUACCCGAUAGGCGCUCCUGCUGCAUGGUGGGGGUUGGAAAGUUUCGGCGGUUGGGGAUGGACUCGCGGAUUAUCAGCUUGUUGGUGGGGUAGUGGCUUACCAAGGCUUUGACGGGUAGCCGGCCUGAGAGGGGGAACGGCGACAUGGGGACUGAGAGACGGCCCAGACUCCUACGGGAGGCAGUAGUGGGGAAUAUGGCACAAUGGGCGGAAGCCUGAUGCAGCAACGCCGCGUGCGGGAUGACGGCCUUCGGGUUGUAAACCGCUUUCGCCUGUGACGAAGCGUGAGUGACGGUAAUGGGUAAAGAAGCACCGGCUAACUACGUG